GUGUGGCUUGGGGAGUUUCUUGGCCUGCUUUCCCUUUUCCUGGUACUCCAAACUGCAUUGUGUCUGCAGUUAGUCCUGAGACUGCUAAAAAGAGCAUCGCCUUCAUGUGAUACUGGCUAGUGCUGCAUGAUGUGUAGUGAGGUGUGUGAGUGUUGGACAUUCUCAUGGGCCUUGUCUGGCUCUCAAAAGCUUCCAGGAACCAAGGACAUGGUGUGGGUGUGCAUCACCAUUUAGCUGUGCUGUACAAAGUGAGCAUGAGCAAUCUAAUCUUGUGAACACUGGUGGUGGUGAAGCAAUUUCCCCCCUCCUGUGUGUUCCUUGGGCACCCUUCCCCCCCUUUGCUGGUAAUAUUAAUCAAGUACUGUUUCUUUAAAUAUUUUGCAAUAACGAGAUCUCUACUUUUUAACCUGGCCUCUUUUGCAGCUGUUAUAUUUUGAAUAAUUAUCCUGGUACAUUUGAAUAAAAACAUUCCUCUUAUGCAACUUGAA
Molecule: long non-coding RNA, 488 nt
Organism: Labrus bergylta (ballan wrasse)
Lineage: Eukaryota; Metazoa; Chordata; Actinopteri; Labriformes; Labridae
Source: RefSeq, a predicted model, not a curated record